Molecule: long non-coding RNA, 270 nt
Organism: Aricia agestis (brown argus)
Lineage: Eukaryota; Metazoa; Arthropoda; Insecta; Lepidoptera; Lycaenidae
Exons: 3
Source: RefSeq, a predicted model, not a curated record
AAAGUAAGUUUAUAUAUGUCACCGUAAAAUUGUAAAAACCGUUAGAUUAUUAUAUAACUAGUGAAAUUGUAAAAUGUUGAUAGACUUCGGACGCGAAUAAGCUGCCUAUAAUUUAUUAUUUUAACACAUUAUUUUACGUUAGAUUAUAAAUAUGUAUAUUAUGUAUAACAUGAAUCUUUCGACAUAUUUUUACAAUCUCGUCAGUUAUUUUACAAUUUAACGGUUUUUACAAUUGUAUGGUGACAUAUACACUUAAGACUAUUUAGGUGC